CUGAAACAUCUUAGUAGCUGCAGGAAGAGAAAGAAACAUCGAUUCCCUGAGUAGCGGCGAGCGAAAAGGGAAGAGCCCAAACCAACAAGCUUGCUUGUUGGGGUUGUAGGACUGGACAUUAGAGUUACCAAAGUGCGACGUAGUCGCAACAGUUGGGAAGCUGUGCCAUAGAGGGUGAAAGCCCCGUAGACGAAACGUCACACUCUCUGUUCAGGAUCCUGAGUACGGC
RNAcentral lists this ribosomal RNA (229 nucleotides) under Limosilactobacillus reuteri. RNAcentral's name for it is "Lactobacillus reuteri partial 23S ribosomal RNA". It matches the Rfam family "Bacterial large subunit ribosomal RNA", at positions 193 to 418 of the family's 2925-position model. The record is from RNAcentral. Lineage: Bacteria; Bacillati; Bacillota; Bacilli; Lactobacillales; Lactobacillaceae.